Molecule: ribosomal RNA, 472 nt
Filed under: uncultured bacterium
Lineage: Bacteria
Description: bacterial SSU rRNA
Rfam family: Bacterial small subunit ribosomal RNA
Source: RNAcentral
AUCCUACGGGAGGCAGCAGUGGGGAAUAUUGCACAAUGGGCGCAAGCCUGAUGCAGCCAUGCCGCGUGUAUGAAGAAGGCCUUCGGGUUGUAAAGUACUUUCAGCAGUGAGGAAGGCAGGUACGUUAAUAGCGUGCUUGUUUGACGUUAGCUGCAGAAGAAGCACCGGCUAACUCCGUGCCAGCAGCCGCGGUAAUACGGAGGGUGCGAGCGUUAAUCGGAAUUACUGGGCGUAAAGCGCAUGCAGGUGGUUUGUUAAGUCAGAUGUGAAAGCCCGGGGCUCAACCUCGGAAUUGCAUUUGAAACUGGCAGACUAGAGUACUGUAGAGGGGGGUAGAAUUUCAGGUGUAGCGGUGAAAUGCGUAGAGAUCUGAAGGAAUACCGGUGGCGAAGGCGGCCCCCUGGACAGAUACUGACACUCAGAUGCGAAAGCGUGGGGAGCAAACAGGAUUAGAUACCCUGGUAGCACAGAG